This 99-nucleotide transfer RNA is filed under the name Pseudomonadota bacterium. RNAcentral describes it as "Proteobacteria bacterium (cold seep metagenome) tRNA-Sec". It matches the Rfam family "Selenocysteine transfer RNA". The record is from RNAcentral. RNAcentral also lists the same sequence under 5 other names. Lineage: Bacteria; Pseudomonadati; Pseudomonadota.
GGAAGUGGAAAGCUCACUGGUGGGGCUCCCGGACUUCAAAUCCGGUGUGUCGCGACGAAAAUCGGGACAGGUGGGUUCGAUUCCCAUGCACUUCCGCCA